RNAcentral lists this transfer RNA (75 nucleotides) under Hyphomicrobium sp. RNAcentral's name for it is "tRNA-Gln". It matches the Rfam family "tRNA". From Rfam's summary of the family: Transfer RNA (tRNA) molecules are approximately 80 nucleotides in length. Their secondary structure includes four short double-helical elements and three loops (D, anti-codon, and T loops). Lineage: Bacteria; Pseudomonadati; Pseudomonadota; Alphaproteobacteria; Hyphomicrobiales; Hyphomicrobiaceae. The record is from RNAcentral.
UGGGAUGUAGCCAAGUGGUAAGGCAGCGGAUUUUGAUUCCGCCAUUCCUAGGUUCGAACCCUAGCAUCCCAGCCA